This 301-nucleotide ribosomal RNA is filed under the name uncultured bacterium. RNAcentral's name for it is "partial 16S ribosomal RNA". It matches the Rfam family "Bacterial small subunit ribosomal RNA", at positions 509 to 808 of the family's 1533-position model. The record is from RNAcentral.
CAGCCGCCGCGGUAAUACGUAGGUCCCGAGCGUUGUCCGGAUUUAUUGGGUGUAAAGGGAGCGCAGGCGGUUUAGUAAGUCUGAAGUUAAAGGCAUUGGCUCAACCAAUGUAUGCUUUGGAAACUGUUAGACUUGAGUGCAGAAGGGGAGAGUGGAAUUCCAUGUGUAGCGGUGAAAUGCGUAGAUAUAUGGAGGAACACCGGUGGCGAAAGCGGCUCUCUGGUCUGUCACUGACGCUGAGGCUCGAAAGCGUGGGUAGCGAACAGGAUUAGAUACCCCUGUAGUCCCUGUCUCUUAUACA